UGAGGAAUAUUGGUCAAUGGGCGAGAGCCUGAACCAGCCAAGUCGCGUGAGGGAAGACGGUACUAAGUAUUGUAAACCUCUUUUGUCAGGGAGCAAAGACAUGCACGAGUGCAUGGUUGAGCGUACCUGAAGAAAAAGCAUCGGCUAACUCCGUGCCAGCAGCCGCGGUAAUACGGAGGAUGCGAGCGUUAUCCGGAUUUAUUGGGUUUAAAGGGUGCGCAGGCGGUAUGUCAAGUCAGCGGUAAAAUGUCGGGGCUCAACCCCGGCCGGCCGUUGAAACUGGCACACUAGAGUUGGAGAGAAGUAUGCGGAAUUCGUGGUGUAGCGGUGAAAUGCAUAGAUAUCACGAAGAACUCCGAUUGCGAAGGCAGCAUACCGGCUCCACACUGACGCUCAGGCACGAAAGCGUGGGUAUCGAACAGG
RNAcentral lists this ribosomal RNA (423 nucleotides) under uncultured bacterium. RNAcentral describes it as "bacterial SSU rRNA". It matches the Rfam family "Bacterial small subunit ribosomal RNA", at positions 355 to 776 of the family's 1533-position model. The record is from RNAcentral.